GCCGCGUGAGUGAUGAAGGUUUUCGGAUCGUAAACUCUGUUGUUAGGGAAGAACAAGUACCGUUCGAAUAGGGCGGUACCUUGACGGUACCUAACCAGAAAGCCACGGCUAGCUACGUGCCAGCAGCCGCGGUAAUACGUAGGUGGCAAGCGUUGUCCGGAAUUAUUGGGCGUAAAGCGCGCGCAGGCGGUUUCUUAAGUCUGAUGUGAAAGCCCACGGCUCAACCGUGGAGGGUCAUUGGAAACUGGGGAACUUGAGUGCAAAAGAGGAGAGUGGAAUUCCACGUGUAGCGGUGAAAUGCGUAGAGAUGUGGAGGAACACCAGUGGCGAAGGCGACUCUCUGGUCUGUAACUGACGCUGAGGCGCGAAAGCGUGGGGAGCGAACAGGAUUAGAUACCCUGGUAGUCCACGCCGUAAACGAUGAGUGCUAAGUGUUAGAGGGUUUCCGCCCUUUAGUGCUGCAGCAAACGCAUUAAGCACUCCGCCUGGGGAGUACGGUCGCAAGACUGAAACUCAAAGGAAUUGACGGGGGCCCGCACAAGCGGUGGAGCAUGUGGUUUAAUUCGAAGCAACGCGAAGAACCUUACCAGGUCUUGACAUCCCGCUGCCCGGUAUAGAGAUAUACCUUUCCCUUCGGGGACAGCGGUGACAGGUGGUGCAUGGUUGUCGUCAGCUCGUGUCGUGAGAUGUUGGGUUAAGUCCCGCAACGAGCGCAACCCUUG
RNAcentral lists this ribosomal RNA (722 nucleotides) under uncultured Bacillus sp. RNAcentral's name for it is "bacterial SSU rRNA". It matches the Rfam family "Bacterial small subunit ribosomal RNA", at positions 396 to 1107 of the family's 1533-position model. Lineage: Bacteria; Bacillati; Bacillota; Bacilli; Caryophanales; Bacillaceae. The record is from RNAcentral.